Long non-coding RNA from Gossypium raimondii (Peruvian cotton), 307 nucleotides. RefSeq lists it as uncharacterized. The transcript has 3 exons. The record is from RefSeq and is a predicted model, not a curated record. Lineage: Eukaryota; Viridiplantae; Streptophyta; Magnoliopsida; Malvales; Malvaceae.
AGAGAGAGCAGUUUGUCGAUUUCUUACCCGCCAUUCUUCAAUUGGUUUUUUCCUUACAAGGAAAAGCUUCAGUGUUUCGGUUUCUUUCAUACUUACAUAACCCAGACAGUGAAGACGAAGAAGGGUUUUCGCUCCUUUCAUUUAUCUUCAUCGUUGUCAAGGAGUAACACUGCAUUUGCCCAACUGUUAAAGAAAAGAGAACUGAAAAUUUUGGAUUAACCAUUUGUUACUGCUCGUAUUUAGGUAAGUUUGCUGAUUUGGUCAUUUAUCAACAGUUGAAUGGCUUGGAAUUUUUGGUGCAUUUCUU